Molecule: ribosomal RNA, 253 nt
Filed under: uncultured bacterium
Lineage: Bacteria
Description: partial 16S ribosomal RNA
Rfam family: Bacterial small subunit ribosomal RNA
Source: RNAcentral
UACGUAGGCAGCAAGCGUUGUUCGGAAUUACUGGGCGUAAAGAGUGUGUAGGCGGUGUUCUAAGUCUGGUGUGAAAUCUCCCGGCUCAACUGGGAGGGUGCGCUAGAAACUGGAAUGCUAGAGGAUGGGAGAGGUAAGCGGAAUUCCUGGUGUAGCGGUGAAAUGCGUAGAUAUCAGGAGGAACACCUGUGGUGUAGACAGCUUACUGGACCAUUUCUGACGCUGAGACACGAAAGCGUGGGUAGCAAACGGG